UGCUGAUUGCCAGCUUUGGGGUUUCUCUGGAGACAGUUUGCUGUGAUUGUAGGACAUUAAGAAAUAUCUUAUUUUAUAGAAAGAUGAGGGACUCUGGCAAACACUGAAUAGCAUGAUCAAAUCAUUGACAAGAAUGACUUAGAGUUUGUUUCCUUUCCCCAAACUAUUUAUUCAGCGCGUUUGAAGGCAAGCUGUGAAUAUUAUGUAAAGAAAUCUGCCAGCAUGCAAUCUCCAAGAAAAGAUUUCAGAUUUAAUUUCAGGCUCAGGGCAGCUAACAGGAAGAACUGUUACACUGUUCUAACUGAAGGGCCGAAGCUAAAACUUCCAAAGUAGCUAAAAAUUUAGAGUAUUUAACGCUCAUAUUUUCAUGUUAGAGUUCUGCAGUGCUGAAAGUCAUCUGCAUGCAAGAAAGUGAACAAAAACCCCACUGGCGUGAAAUAAUUGUUUGUCAUCAGUUGAGGAAACUAAGAUGCUGAUCCUGAAGCUGAACGUUACACGGGCACCCGGUACCGCAGAGAGGGACCAGACAGGUCUGGUUUUGAUCUGCCCACUCUGCAUGAACGAAGCAACAGAAAACAGGAUCUGAUUGUACCAGCCGACCUGAGUUCACACACACGUAGCCUUAUCAAGUGGAGACUAUUCACACAGUCACACAGUCACGCUGGCUAUAAUGGAGUAAUCAUUAUGCUGAUCUUCCAGACUGUUUAAGAGGCCUUCCCUCCCCCUCGAAACACCCGUGCUGGCUGAGACUGCCGAGGGGUUGAACUGAGAUUUAUGUGAAAACUCCACGAGCAGCUUAUCCUGAAACUGGUGAGAAAACGAAGACUGCUGCUUUCAUGGCCCCUGAAAUUCCAGCAUGAUUUUAAACAAAGACGACACCUCUUAUUUCCCGAGAAAUAUUAAAACAGUCUAGG
Molecule: long non-coding RNA, 914 nt
Filed under: Apteryx owenii (little spotted kiwi)
Lineage: Eukaryota; Metazoa; Chordata; Aves; Apterygiformes; Apterygidae
Description: lncRNA (ENSAOWG00000003771.1)
Source: RNAcentral